GAUGAAGAACGCAGCAAAAUGCGAUAAGUAAUGUGAAUUGCAGAAUUCAGUGAAUCAUCGAAUCUUUGAACGCACAUUGCGCCCGCCAGUAUUCUGGCGGGCAUGCCUGUUCGAGCGUCAUUUCAACCCUCAAGCCCUCGGGUUUGGUGUUGGGGAUCGGCGAGCCUUUCUGGCAAGCCGGCCCCGAAAUCUAGUGGCGGUCUCGCUGCAGCCUCCAUUGGGUAGUAGUAAAACCCUCGCAACUGGAACGCGGCGCGGCCAAGCCGUUAAACCCCCAACUUCUGAAUGUUGACCUCGGAUCAGGUAGGAAUACCCGCUGAACUUAAGCAUAUCAAUAAGCGGAGGA
Molecule: unclassified non-coding RNA, 346 nt
Filed under: soil metagenome
Description: partial contains 5.8S ribosomal RNA, internal transcribed spacer 2, and large subunit ribosomal RNA
Rfam family: 5.8S ribosomal RNA (bases 1-120)
Source: RNAcentral